UUGUCCCCUCUCAGGUUUUAUUAGCGUCUUGCCCCUUUAACUGGUAAUUAACAUCUUGAUUUGGGGGUCUUCCCCUACCCAGCCUCCUUUAUACACAGUU
Molecule: long non-coding RNA, 100 nt
Filed under: Octopus sinensis (East Asian common octopus)
Lineage: Eukaryota; Metazoa; Mollusca; Cephalopoda; Octopoda; Octopodidae
Description: uncharacterized LOC118764478
Source: RNAcentral